UACGUAGGUGGCAAGCGUUGUCCGGAUUUACUGGGCGUAAAGAGCGCGCAGGCGGCUGAUUAAGUCGAAUGUGAAAGCCCCCGGCUCAACUGGGGAGGGUCAUUCGAUACUGAUCAACUUGAAGGCAGGAGAGGGUAGUGGAAUUCCCGGUGUAGUGGUGAAAUGCGUAGAUAUCAGGAGGAACACCGGUGGCGAAGGCGGGUCUCUGGGCCGUAACUGACGCUGAGGAGCGAAAGCAUGGGGAGCGAACAGG
This 253-nucleotide ribosomal RNA is filed under the name uncultured bacterium. RNAcentral's name for it is "partial 16S ribosomal RNA". It matches the Rfam family "Bacterial small subunit ribosomal RNA", at positions 524 to 776 of the family's 1533-position model. The record is from RNAcentral.